RNAcentral lists this ribosomal RNA (485 nucleotides) under uncultured bacterium. RNAcentral's name for it is "partial 16S ribosomal RNA". It matches the Rfam family "Bacterial small subunit ribosomal RNA", at positions 30 to 507 of the family's 1533-position model. The record is from RNAcentral.
AUUGAACGCUGGCGGCAGGCUUAACACAUGCAAGUCGAGCGGGGAGAUGUAGCUUGCUCCAUAUCCUAGCGGCGGACGGGUGAGUAAUGCUUAGGAAUCUGCCUAUUAGUGGGGGACAACAUUCCGAAAGGAAUGCUAAUACCGCAUACGCCCUACGGGGGAAAGCAGGGGAUCUUCGGACCUUGCGCUAAUAGAUGAGCCUAAGUCGGAUUAGCUAGUUGGUGGGGUAAAGGCCUACCAAGGCGACGAUCUGUAGCGGGUCUGAGAGGAUGAUCCGCCACACUGGGACUGAGACACGGCCCAGACUCCUACGGGAGGCAGCAGUGGGGAAUAUUGGACAAUGGGCGCAAGCCUGAUCCAGCCAUGCCGCGUGUGUGAAGAAGGCCUUUGGGUUGUAAAGCACUUUAAGCGAGGAGGAGGCUCCUUUAGUUAAUACCGAAAGAGAGUGGACGUUACUCGCAGAAUAAGCACCGGCUAACUCUGUG